Molecule: non-coding RNA, 272 nt
Organism: Xyrichtys novacula (pearly razorfish)
Lineage: Eukaryota; Metazoa; Chordata; Actinopteri; Labriformes; Labridae
Source: the annotation of a GenBank genome assembly
CGUUCAGGAGCCCAAACAAAGUUAGUGUGCUACAAUAUCAGACAGUAGAAACCAACCAGAAAGUUCGGAAAAUUGUCUGAAUCCUCCUUUGGCCACGACUGCCGACACAAGCAAGAAAACAAAGUAAAUACCGGAGACUCUGGAGGAAUAACGGGCGCUUAAAACGGAGGUAGACCGGACAAGAGCUAAAAAGCCGGGUCAACAUAAACCAUGGGGGACGCUUGGGGAUCUUGGUGACCCUGUAACCUUUCUGCUGGACAGGUAAACCGCUU